This 696-nucleotide ribosomal RNA is filed under the name Triticum aestivum (bread wheat). Its description in RNAcentral is "partial small subunit ribosomal RNA". The record is from RNAcentral. Lineage: Eukaryota; Viridiplantae; Streptophyta; Magnoliopsida; Poales; Poaceae.
AUGUGGGAGGAAUGCUUGCCUCAUAUUGAAUUUGCUUAUAAUCGUUCAUUGCAUUCUACUACUAAGAUGUGCCCUUUUGAAGUUGUGUAUGGUUUCCUACCUCGUGCACCUAUUGAUUUGUUGCCUCUUCCAUCUUCGGAGAAGAUUAAUUUUGAUGCUAAACAACGUGCUGAAUUGAUUUUAAAAAUGCAUGAGUUAACUAAGGAAAACAUUGAGCGCAUGAAUGCUAAAUAUAAACUUGCUGGAGAUAAGGGUAGAAAACAUGUUGUGUUUGCACCUGGAGAUCUUGUUUGGUUACAUUUGCGUAAGGAUAGAUUUCCUGAUUUGCGCAAAUCAAAGUUAAUGCCACGUGCUGAUGGUCCCUUUAAGGUGUUAGAGAAAAUAAAUGAUAAUGCAUAUAAACUUGAGUUGCCUGCAAAUUUUGGGGUUAGUCCCACUUUUAACAUUGCAGAUUUGAAGCCUUAUUUGGGUGAGGAAGAUGAACUUCCGUCGAGGACGACUUCAUUUCAAGAAGGGGAGGAUGAUGAGGACAUCAAUACAAUUGUUACACCCACAUCCCCUGCUGCUAUACAUACUGGACCAAUUACUAGAGCUCGUGCACGCCAACUAAAUUACCAGGAAACAGACCCUCGUGGUCAGGUUGACCGUGCUCCGGCGUGGUCAAUAACCUCUCGGAGUUGGUUUAGCGAUUGCUAA